AAUUUUAUGAACAAUAAAGUAUCUGUAACUGGUAUGAAAAAAUUGAUUUGGACUCAAGUAAAAGGAAACACAUAAUAUCUUUAAGUAAUAUAACCCAGUUUGAAACUGAAAAUCCUGCAUCUAAAAAAAAGAUCAAUGUCGAUUAAGGCUGAUUUCACUUUAUAUUUCAUAUUGAUUAAAGUAUUUUUUUCAUUAUAUAUUUUUGUUUUUGUUUUGUUAAAGUACUAAAUUGGAGUUUGAAGUAUUGAAAAAUGCACUAAAAAGCAGUAAUAAUGCAUUUUUCUAAAUACAUGAAUGAUUUUAAUGCAAAAAAAAAAAAAAUCAAAAAAAAAAUCAGUGUUCUUACUAAAUAAUGAUGAUCUGAUCUUGUCAAUCAAUUUUGAAAUAAAAUUGAGGAUGACAAUUGGGAAUAUGUCAAAGAUAUAAAUGUAUCAAUUGCCUUUUCUGAUGGUUUUAUUUUAUUUAUAAGUAUUUAUACUCAUGAUUAUAGAAGCAUCUGGUGUUUAGCAUGUGUCUAAAUGUUUUCAUUGAAAAUAUACAUUAUAUGAUUUAAAAUCAUCUAAUGCAUUUACUGCUAUAAUGAAUUUGUAACAUAUGGUUGAUAUUCACAGAACAAGUAUUUAUUUUAUCCCAUAAAUACUUUAUAAAUAAACCUACUUAUACAAAAUUAUUUGUUAGAACCCAUUUAUUUCAGAAUAUAUAUUUCACAUUAAAUGACCAAAUGCAGUUUAUUUCUUUGCUUGUAUGUCGUUUUUGUUCUUCUGAAGAGUAAUGUGUUUUAGAUUGAUGUGGCUGUUUUACUGACUAGUAUUUUUGGUAUUUAUUGUUUUUAUACGACCGCAAAAUUUGAAAAAUUUUUCGUCGUAUAUUGCUAUCACGUUGGCGUCGUCGUCUGCGUCGUCGUCGUCGUCGUCGUCCGAAUACUUUUAGUUUUCGCACUCUAACUUUAGUAAAAGUGAAUGGAAAUCUAUGAAAUUUUAACACA
RNAcentral lists this long non-coding RNA (985 nucleotides) under Mytilus galloprovincialis (Mediterranean mussel). Lineage: Eukaryota; Metazoa; Mollusca; Bivalvia; Mytilida; Mytilidae. The record is from RNAcentral.